UCUACGGGAGGCAGCAGUGGGGAAUAUUGCGCAAUGGGCGAAAGCCUGAUGCAGCAACGCCGCGUGAGUGAAGAAGGUUUUCGGAUUGUAAAGCUCUGUCUUUGGGGACGAUAAUGACGGUACCUGAGGAGGAAGCCACGGCUAACUACGUGCCAGCAGCCGCGGUAAUA
RNAcentral lists this ribosomal RNA (170 nucleotides) under uncultured bacterium. RNAcentral describes it as "partial 16S ribosomal RNA". It matches the Rfam family "Bacterial small subunit ribosomal RNA", at positions 338 to 525 of the family's 1533-position model. The record is from RNAcentral.